RNAcentral lists this long non-coding RNA (8228 nucleotides) under Citrus maxima (pomelo). RNAcentral's name for it is "long non-coding RNA (CMAX_LNC000488)". Lineage: Eukaryota; Viridiplantae; Streptophyta; Magnoliopsida; Sapindales; Rutaceae. The record is from RNAcentral.
GGCACAGGGCCAUAUAAUCCCCUUCCUAGCAUUAGCCCGUCGCUUGGAAGAAACAAACAAAUACACCAUAACUCUUGUUAACACCCCUUUAAACCUUAAGAAGCUUAAAUCAUCUCUCCCUCAAAAUUCCUCUAUUCACCUUCUUGAAAUUCCUUUCAAUAGCGUAGAGCAUGACCUCCCUCCAUGUACUGAAAACACAGACUCUAUUCCGUAUCAUCUCUUACCAAAAUUCCUUCAAGCAUCAGCAUCGCUCGAACCCCACUUCAAGAAACUAAUCUCUGAACUUGUCAAUGAGCAAAAUGGCCAAAAACCACUUUGUAUCAUCACUGAUACGUUCUUAGGUUGGUGUAAAGAGACAGCACAAGAGUAUGGUAUUUUUCAUGCUAUAUUCAUAGGAGGUGGUGGCUUUGGCUUUGCUUGUUUGUACUCGAUGUUGCUAAACCUACCUCACCGCAGCACGGAUUCUGAUGAAUUUCUGUUGCCGGAUUUUCCAGAAGCUUCAACACUUCAUGUAACACAGAUAUCUCCUUACUUACGUGCUACCGAUGGAAGUGAUUCUUUUUCAGUGUUUUAUAAGAAGUUGCUUCUUCUAUGGAAGGAUGCAGAUGGAAUUUUGGUUAACACGGUUGAGGAACUUGACAAGAUUGGACUGAUGUAUUUCAAGAGAAAAUUUGGCCGGCCGGUUUGGCCAAUAGGGCCUGUUCUUUUGUCCACGGAAAGCAGAGCUGGGGCCAGAAAAGAGUACGGAAUCUCCACAGAGUUGUGUAAAAAAUGGCUUGAUACAAAGCCGUACACUUCAGUUCUGUAUGUAUCAUUUGGUUCACAAAACACAAUAGCUGCAUCACAAAUGAUGCAAUUGGCAAUGGCUUUAGAGGCUAGUGGCAAGAAUUUCAUUUGGGUUGUCAGGCCGCCGAUUGGCUUUGACAUAAAUUCUGAGUUUAAAGCCAACAAAUGGCUGCCUCGAGGAUUUGAAGAAAGAAUCAAAUGUUCAGGACAAGGGCUAGUGGUACACAAAUGGGCACCUCAGGUGGAGAUUUUAUCUCAUAGGUCUGUAUCCGCAUUUUUGAGCCACUGCGGAUGGAACUCUGUGCUUGAAGCUUUGAGUCAUGGGGUGCCGAUAAUUGGGUGGCCAUUGGCAGCAGAGCAGUUUUAUAAUUCUAAGCUCUUAGAAGAAGAGAUGGGGGUUUGUGCGGAGAUAGCAAGAGGGAUGAGUUGUGAGGUUCUGAAAGAGGACUUAAGUGCAAAAAUUGAGUUAGUGAUGAAUGAGACUGAGAAAGGAACAGACUUGAGAAACAAAGCUAAUGAGGUCAAGGUGAUUAUUAAGAAUGCUGUGAGAAAUGAAACAAAUUUUAAGGGGUCUUCUGUGAAAGCCAUGGAUCAAUUCUUGAAUGCUGCAUUGAUAAUGAGACAGACGGAAAAGGGAGCAUCAAACAUCAAAGGAUGAGGUUUGAUUUUGCGUGGAAGUAAGUCUCCAUUGCCAUUUCUGUCAAUGAAAAAUAAUGUCAUCUUUUAACGAGACAGUUUUUGGAAAAUUCUUGAAGUAAUGUUAAGUUUUGGGAAAAUUCUUGAAGUAAUGUUAUCUUUGUAUUAACUUUCGAUCAAUAAUAUGAAAUUUAAUUUUAUAUAAAUUAAUCCCAUACCAAAGAGCCACCUCUGUUUUUUGUGACUACAUCUAUCGAGAGUUUGAGUUUAAAGCUUGUUAUUUCCGAGUGGGAUCAAGAAUUUAUAGAGCAUAAUUCCUUUUUUUUUUUUUUUUUUUUGAUAGAGCAUAAUUCCUUAGUAUUUAAUGUUUUCAAUAAAUGAAAGUAAGAUUGGGCCGGAAAAACAUCACGCACGAUCCACAUCAAGCCCAACCCAGACCAUAUCAUUUGGGCUGGUUUGAUAAGGGAAACUCAAUCUAUAAUAAAUUUCGGCAGGGAUUGGGUUGAUGAUUUUCACAAAAUAAUUUCUAAAAUGAUAAAUCGAUAAAUUACUGUUGAAAAAAUAAUAAUAAAAGGUAGAAAUCUGCAUCUCUUGAUUUAUCAAUGGCACCAUCAUCGUCAAUGACCAAGCUUCUGAUAGUGGCUAUAACGAUAUUUGUAAGUUUUGGCUAAAUGGGAUUGCCACCAUUAAAUUUUUUAGUUAUUUGUAUCUUAGAUUUUUCUAAGAUCAUAAUAUGUCAAAAUAAAUUAUUGAAUCUAAAAGGAAAAAAAAAUUGAACUAACUGUACUUUUUUUUUUAAUGGAAAUGCAUUUUGAUUAAAGUAUAGUAAAACGUUAAUAGCAAGAAUAAACAUGACUUUUCAUAUGAAAUUUUGGUUCAAUCGCAUGCUGUAAAUUUCAAAAUUUGGGACGCCAUAAAUUUCAAAGUUUGAGAAACAAAAAAGUUAUGAGAUUUUUCUAAAUAUGUGCAUUGAGAUCUCCUUCUUACCAUUCCUUAAUUACAUUUUUUUUUGUUGAAUUAUAUUGUGUUUUGUGGUCACUUAAAAUAGGAUUCAACUUUAUACCAUUGAACCAAUCAUGUUAAAAUGUUGGAUGAAAUUGAAUUAAAAUUAUUCAUAGCAUUAGAUGGAGAUUGAGAUUUUAUAAACAAAUGUUGGAUGGUGAUUGGAGAAAAGAGAUAUUGCAAAUGGCGACGCUGAUCGGAGAAAACAAAAAUACCCUAAAGUAUAUAAACGCUUGGUUUCGCAAUGAUAUAUAUUGUCUGAUUUAUUGAAAUUUGCUUUAAAGUAUACUCUAAUUUACUGGAUUGCUUGAAAAAAUAAAGUGUAAUGUUAAUCGCAUCUCGUAGAUUUGUAUGCAAAAUAAAUUUUAAUAUAAUAUUUUAAAUUAAUUAAAAUAACAGUAAUUUUCCAUUACAAUAAUAAAUCGUCUUUAAUUAUUUAUGAAGACAAAAUUUGGGCUAUUUUCAUAUUGAAAGCACAUAUACUCUUUGUCUGCAGGGGCGACCCUCCAAGACUGAGACCAUCUAAAACUUGACUCAACAACUCAGCAUCGUAUAUAUAUUCCCAAAAGAUGAAAGCUUUGGUUUCCCAACUAAGUCACCCACCUGUGCUUUUCCCCUGCGUAUUUAGGGAUGGCAAAAAUCCCUACGAAGACGGGUAUUUUCGGAGAUUUUUUCCAUUCAGAGAGAAUAUGAGGAUAAUUUCAUACCCAAUUUCUUAUUCAGGAAAGGGACAUAGAAAUUUUUUAAUUUCUUAUUCGGGGAGGGGACGGGGAUGAGGUGGAAUCCUCAUCCCCUACCCAUUUCCCCAUUUUAAUUUUUAAUUUAAUUUUUAUUUUUUAAAAUUACUAGUAAAUAAAUAAUAAAAUUUGAAUUAUAAAAUUAUAAGUAUUGGUAAAAAUAAAAAAUAUCAAAAUAUUUAUAUUAUUAAACUUUUAGGCCUAAUUAACUAAUUAAAGUCCUAAAUUUUUAUUUAAGACAUUAAAAAGACCGGACAUAUUCUAUUAGCCCAAAAUUUUUAUUUUUAUUUUAAUAUUCAUUAAAUAUUUUAAACUUAAAUCUAUUUUUUAUUUAUCUUAAAUCUAUUUUUUAUUUAUUUUUAGAUGUUAUAAUUGCCCACAACAAAUCACAAUUUUAAUAUCCAAUCUAAUUUAAUAUUUGCUCUUGAUUUGUUUCGACUUAACUAUUGUGUUGUAAAGGGAAUAGUCCACAUUUAUAAAGUGCUCACGCCACCAUUGAAAAGUUAAUUUUGAAUCUAAAUUUGAUUUUAUUUGUAACAAUUUUGUAUUAGGCUAUUAAUUUGUUCAUGAUAGUUUGUAUCCCUUGCAUGCUGCGUUACUUACUAAUUUAAUAUAUGUGACUUUUGUAAUGGAUAUUAAUGUAAGAUAUAUUUCGAAAUUUACUUUUAUUUGAAUUUUUUUAUUUUAAUAUGAUUAACUCAAAAUCGAAAACAAAAAAAAAUGUAUUAGUUAUUCAGGGAUCGGGGACCCUCGGGGAUCCCCUGUUAUUAUUCGGGGAGGGGAUGAUGAUUCUCUUAAACAAUUGUGACGGGGAUGAAGAGGGGACGGGGAUAUACGCAAAAUAUCGGGGAUGGGUACGGGGAGAUUGGUCCUCUCCCCUCCCCUCCCCAUUGCCAUCCCUAUGCGUAUUGGUGUUGGAUCAAUGUUGUAUAUGCCUUCGCUACAAAAUUAGACAAUUUUAAAAAUUUUGGUGAUUAUGAUCCUAUUUAGGACUGAAUUGUUGUAACUUUUAAAGUACAAGUUUUGUGAAAAAAAAAGAUAUAAUUAUGAAUUAAGAGUAAAUAAUAUAUAGUAAACAUAAAUUUUAAAUAAUAAUUUUACUAAAAUUAUUAAAGAUUUAUUAGACUUUUCAUCACAUAAAUAUAAAAUCAAAUCAAAUUAGCUUUUAAAAUAUAACAGUUAAUGUUUACCAAAUACUUUAAUACUGUAACUUUUAAGGUAUAACUGUCCAACCUUAAUUCUAAAUAUAGUCUAUGAGUGUGUUUGGGAGUGAUGCGAGACAACUCGGUUGCUAAUGUAUUUGGUUACAUCUUACAGCUAAACUUUGACAGCUCAACAGUUUAAAAGUUAAAGUUUUUACUCUACAGCUAUAAUUUUUACUCUACAACAACUGCAACUUAAAAAUUACAGUACCUUACUUCCAAACACACCUUAUAUCUAUCACAAACUUGUUCAGAUUACUAACUAAUUAUGCGUUAUUUAACAUAGUAGAAUUCAGUAAUUCACUUAUUAUUAAUUUUUUGUUUUAGAUUUAGGUCUCUUGACCAUCUUUCACCGAUACAAACUGUUUUAUUACAUACCAAAACUGUUAAAAUCAAGGACGGAAGCAGCAUUGGUGCUACUAGGAUUAGUUGUCCCCACUUAAUUAAAAAAAGUAUUUAUUAAUCUAUUUUAUGCUUAAGUCUCACCCUGUAAUCUUUUAUCUUGAUUUCAUUGUUCAGUCCAUUUAUCCUUUAAAAUUAUUUGAACAACUCAGUAACUUGAAAUUAAAAGCCUAAUAGCCUUAAUUCCAGUAUGUUGCCAAAAAAAAAAAAUUAAUUAGCAUUGAUAAUAAAAUUAUUGCGCAAUCAACUCAUAAAAAAUUUAUAUAUAUAUAUAUAUAUUAUGAGUGAAAGAUAUAAUCUUAUAGUUAUUAUUAUUUUUAAAAAAUUACCCCCAUAGAACAAAUUUCUAACUUCAUUCCUUUUUAAAGUAACUCACGUUAUUUUAAAUUUUCAACAAAAGUCAAAGACAAAUAGGUAUAAAUAAUUAUUUUAAAUUUUUUAUUAAAACUUAGCAGUUUGAGAAAAUUUUAUUAAAUAUGAAAUAAGAAAUGAAAUACCAAAUUCAGAGAAUUUAAUUACAUUAUUUUUUCCCAGUUGGAAAUAUGUUGGAAAGAAAUGCCUUCAAAAUUUGCCAUUAAAAUAAGAAAUAUGUUUAUUAAUAUAAAUUAAAAAAUAAUGUAAUUAAAUUGAUUAAUAAAUAUUUGAUUUGGUUGGUCAUUUAACCAUAAAGUGACAACAUACAAGCGACAGAGUUGACGACUUUUUGUGCAGUGUGGAGCCCAUUCUAGACACAAAAAGUUAUGGAACAAAUGGUGCCACCAAACAAAUUUUUACUUCUAUGAAAGGGAAUCAAAAAAUGAGAAUGAUUUGAUGUCAAAAGUCAGUAUGAUCCAAGCAAUGCUGCAAAACGGUGCCACCAAACAAAUUUUUCAUUGUUAUUACGUUAAAAGACAGAAAAAAAAAAAACAAUUUGGAAACAGUACCAAGCAGCCUACUAAAAUUCUCGAAUUAUUUAGGAUUGGGGUUUUCUUUGAUGUUUAAUGAAUUAUUAUUGGCAAAUUGUAGUGAGUCAACAAUUGAAAUUAUAUUGAUCAAAUUGUAUCAGAACAUGAAUUCAUAUAAGUAAAUAGUGAGUAAAAGUUACUAGAUAGUCUGCAGUAAUAAAAUAAACAAUAGAAAAGAAAAUGAAAAAUAGAAAACUUAGAAAAAAAAAAAAGAGGCCUGUUAAACAAUAGUUUCUUUAAAACAAAUUUAUCACCUAUUACAGUGAUGUUAGAUUCAUUGGUAUUUGUUUUUCAAGAUACAACAGGAACAAAUUAUUUGUCAAACACAUACAAAUAAUUUCGGUGAACAUCAACAAUGUAGAAUCUCAAUCAAAACAUAACGUUAGAGGGAAAAAAAUUUAUUUUCUUUUCAAGUGUUCUGUGUGUUUGUUGUAUAUAAAACAUAAGAGAAAUAUUGUUUUUUUUAUAUACAUGAGGGUAUGACUGUUGAAUAAUAAAAUUGAAUAUUUGAAUUCUAUAUUUAAUUUAAUUUGCUUCUGUAAUAGCCCGUUGAAUUCAAAAUAUUUAAUUUUGUAACAACUCAAAAUUUAUUCACAAAUCAAACUAUUUUUUAUUUUUAAUUUUGAAAACUGUUACAAAAUUUAAAAGGAAAUAAAAAAAUGUGGUCAUGCAGGCUUGAGUGAUUUUUUGGUCGACAUUCGCAUAUGCAAGACGCUUGGGUGUACACGAGUUCAACCAAAUUGAGUUUGGAUUGCACUUCCCCUCCCCCCACAAGUGGCGUAGAGAAAACCUCUAUCUUUAAAAUUCUUAUUCAUGUAUGGAUAGGUAUCUAUAUAUAAACACAAAUCCCUUAGCUUAUUUUUUCUAUGUGAGAUAAGUUUUAUUUUUUUUCAAAUUUCUAACUUCAAGAGUGCACUUUGAGAGUCAAUUUUCUCAUUCACCCAAGCAUGAUUUUGAAUAUAUAUAAAUAUAUCAUUCUAAAGCGUUCACAGAAUAGAAUCCAAACCUCUCAAUAUUUUCAUUUUUGUUAAGUGGGUCCCACUCAAAAUGUGCCCUCCAAAAUAGCAUACUAAUAUGCUAUUUUUCAACAACUAUAUGAUAACAAAUUAACAAUAAUGAUAAAGUCAAAAUUAGUUUUGUACAACCAAUGGGUCAUUUGUUUUUUUUUUUUUUUGACUUAAUGACUUAAUUGAAUUUGUUAAGUCAUUAAAUCUAUUUAUUUUUUUCAACUUAAUGAAAAUUUUCAGUCAUUAGGUCAUUAAGUUAUUAAACUAAUUUUUUUAAACUUUUUGUUUAAUCUAAAAAGUCUGAAUGAUAUAAUUAAAAGAUAUUCUCCAAAAUAUCCCUAUCUAAUUAAUUAAUUUUCAUUUUUACCUAAAUAAAAUUUAAUAAUGAGCAGUAUUACCCAUCUCUAUAUAACUUGUGAUAAUAUAUAGUGGUAAACUAUUAUUUUUUUAUCUUUUAAUUUUUUUUCAAAUUAGCAUUAUUUAUCUUCAUAAUUUGUUAUGAAUAUUAUUCAUAUAAAAAUAUCAUAAACUAUAAUAAAUUUGAUAAACAUAUAUAAUAUAGAAUACUAAAGAGUUGUAUUCAAUCGAAUAUGAUUUAUGUUAUAAUCAUAUAUUAUCUUAUUUAUAUUCUUUGAGAUAUUUAUUUAUUUGUUUAACAUUUAUAAUUUGUAAGGGUAUAAAUGUAAAAAUAUCCGUUGUCAGAUUUUUUAAGUAAAAAAAAACUUAAUAUUUAUUUUUAGUGAUUCAAAUAAAAAAUAAACAUAUCAUUUAAAUUCAUACAUUUAGCUCUAUUAAGAAUUAAAACUAAUUUAGAUCUAUUCAGAUUUAAAAAAAAAAAAACAAAUACCACUUAAAUAUAUAAAAAUUAAUGUAAUAUGAAGAAAUUAAUUGAAAAGGGAUAACAAUUAUCUUUUUCAAAUAUGUUGAGUCAUGAUGAUUUUAUACAAACAAUCUCCUCAUGAGAUUAAAAUGAGCAAUGUGUCAAGGGUAUAGCAAAAUUAUCAAAAUGCUCGGUUUGUUAAAUUUAAUUUUCAAUUUUUAAAUUUAGAAAGUCAAAAGUCAAACUAAAUCAUUCGGUCUUUAAAAAAAGCAAAAAUACCAAAAUGACCCCGCUCCCCUUCUUAACCACCCGAUCCUCCACAAUUUCUCCUUAUCCUCUCAUCAAUAGCAAUGGCACAAAGAAAAGAAAACAUAGUGAUGUUCCCAUUCAUGGCACAAGGCCAUAUAAUCCCUUUCCUAGCAUUAGCCCUUCACUUGGAAAAAACAAACAAAUACACCAUAACUCUUGUUAACACCCCUUUAAACCUUAAGCAACUCAAAUCAUCUCUCCCUCAAAAUUCCUCUAUUCACCUUCUUGAAAUUCCUUUCAAUAGCGUAGUGCAUGACCUCCCUCCUUGUACUGAAAACACAGACUCUAUUCCAUAUCACCUCUUUCCAAAAUUCCUUCAAGCAACAGCAUCGCUCGAACCCCACUUCAAGAAACUAAUCUCUGAACUUGUCAAUGAACAAAAU